UUUUUUUUUUUUUUUUUUUCUCUCUGAGGGCUAUCUGAGUAACGGACAUCCCCUAGUAGGUGAUAGAGAACCCUCAGGGGUCCUUUUCUGUCCAAGGAAGCUUUAAGGUUGGUUUGGAACAGCUGUGGACAGUCUGUUAGGACGGCUAUGGAUCAACAUUGCUGUUGUUCUAAAUAUUAGCCAGCAAUUCCUAAACGUGAACUUUAGCUUUCAAGAUGAAAUGUUGCCUGAAUGCAGCUGAGGGUCAUUCUGCAUCCUACCGUCUCUUCUCUCCAUCUUUCAUGGGACAAGGACAACGGUCCGGGGAGGAGAGGGAGGCAGGUGUCAGCAGCAGCAGCCGAAAGCAUCUUACAGAUAGAUCCAAAAACAAAUCAGUGUGAGAUUAAUUUGUCUGACUGCUAAAUUGUCUCCAACUGCCAAAGCUUCGAGGGCCGCGCCUGCCAGGGCGGGUUCGGGUUACUCGAGCUUCCUGGGCGCGCUGUCUUUCCUCCAUCCCGGCCCGCUGACAGGCCGGCCUGAAACCUGUCCGGCUGGCGCCGGAUCCGCUCGCAGGACGUUUUAAAGGAGCGCAGCGAGUAUGAACUGCUCCGUUUUCACACACACCUUCUUCCUAUUUCUUUUUUAUGAAAACAUUUACAAGGUACCUAAUUUCAGAUCUUGGAAGUAAAUUUCAUGGUAGGAUAUACUUUACAAAACAUGUAAUCUUUCAGGGCCGGAAGACAUUUAAUUAAAACCAUACUUUGACAAGUUGUGUUUCAAAGCGAAGUCACACCAGCGCAGAAGGCUAAUUCAUAUUCAAGAUGCAGCCUGUAAUCCACGUUGUUUGAAAACGCCAGUACAGGCAAUGUACUGUUUGCCCUGCUCUCCUGCGGACUGGCUUGGGUUCGCUGCCUGGUCAUGCGAAGAUAGAGGAAAGCUUCCUGUAGCACCUUUAAUGUCCUUAGAAUAACACCUGUAGGAUGGUCAGGGGAUCUGAGGCACCGGAUUUUAAUCAGGAGAGCAGGCAGGGGCAGGUGCUGUGACAGGGUGCCUGGAGAAGUCUCAGUGGGACAGAGCCCCAAGCCUCCUAGACUCCUUGCUCCUCUGGCUGACCUGAGCGAAAGGGAAAGGAUCUCCUCUAUCUCUCUAACUACUUCCAUUCCUGAAGGCCAGAAACAUGAAAGGAUAGGAGGUUUGUCCACCCCAACUGAUUUAUGGGCAGAGCUCUCAGAGUCCUCAAAGAGGAGAUAAUAUUGGUUCCAGAAGCCUCCACACUGCCAGUUGCAUUCUGGUAGUUGUCCUUAAUAAUCUUCCUCUUUGCCAUUUCCCCAUAACUUGAUGAGCUCCAACUUAAGUAAGAGGGUCACAGCCCCACAGGUGAAGGACAUGCUCCCAGCUCAGCUGGUUUACUGACACACUCUAUGGGCACAAAGUGUUAAUGGCUAGCCUCAACUGCCCGGAUGGGCAGGAGCCUGAAAGCAUCCUACAGUCAGCAUGGAUGGGAAACUAAGAGACUGCAGGGUGGUCUGGGUUAAUGCUGAGAAGGGGGCCUGUAUACAGCAGCUCCAGGGGCUAAACCUGUGGUGAAGGCUGGGUUCCAGUCACUGUCCUGUCUGCACCUCGGUGUUUCCUCCCUGACCCCUAGUCUGCUGGUCUUUCCUCUCAACCAUGACAGUAAGUUGUUGUCAAAGUGCAGGGACAUGAAUUUGAGACUUCUGUUGGUUCAAUUUUACUCAAAAUGCUCCAAAAGAAUAACCCCUUCACUUAUUGCAGCCAUUCUGGGAUAGGGAUUUCACUUCAUCUGGGGGCAGGGUAAAUUAUUGAUUGGCUAAUGGACUCUCUCCGCCCCCCCCAAGCUUAUAUUUUCUUUCAAAUGCACCAUUAUUUUCCUUAAAGCACAAAGAUAGUUCAAGAAAAAGCCUCAAAUAUCAAAUCUAAUGUUCAAGAAGUAUUUUAAACAAUAUGGCUAUCUCAUGUUGAAGUCUCUUUUGAUUUUAUUGGGCCUGUUUAGAUGAAAACUUAAUUUCUGCAAAGACAAUCCCAAAAUAUAAUUUUGAUAAAGUUUUUGCUCUAUUCAGAGGCUACCAGCUGGUAUUUCUGAAGUUUCAGUGGGUAAUCUCCUUCACAUAUAGACAAGGAUGUUGGCAGCUAAAUGCUUAACAGUUUAUCAAUUUAGUACUUACUGGUCAAAUAAUAUUGAUAUCAGAUUAAGAGAUAGGGCCUUGAAGUCAUUCUUUAGUGGCUUGCCUUUUGGAGGGCUGGAGUGGAACUCUGGUCUACACCCUGCUUAAAAAAAGGGGGGGGGCUAUGUUAUAAUUGUAGGGGUAUGGAGGGUAAGAAAAACCCAAUACACAAACAGAGGCACUGCUGGAAUGGUUUUAAGCAUCACAUUGUUUGAGCUGAGACUGAAAAAGUAUGUACCUGACCAAAUGCAUUUGAAGCCUAAUACUACACUGGAGACUUGUGAAUUAUACAGAAGAGGAGAGGAACAGCAAGUAAUAAUAAUCCCCACCUGUUUUAUCUCAGUGAUAUGAACAAGCAGUUUCCCUGUCAUGGACAGGAGCACUCUCAGGGGUGUUGGAGGCCUGUUUGUGGGUCCUAAUUCUGGCAGGGAUCUAUGGUGGGAAGAGUGCAGGGUGGUUGGUAACUGUCAGGGUGGUGCUGCAAUGAGGGCUGGCAGCAGCGUUGUGUGCAGACUGGGCAGGACAGGUAAUAUUUCCCGGCUGGCCCACCCCUUCUGCAGCUCUGGAGAAUCAACCUUAUCCUUUCCAGGCCCAGAGGUUGGGUGGAGGUGAGAGAGGCCCAGACAGGCUGGAGAUUCAUGUCAUGUCUUUCCCUUUCCAUCUCCCUCUGCCUCUCUAUAAUUAGGCCCAUUUCACAGAUGUGGGAGCUAACCUAUGGACCUCACAGCACAGACCCCUUUGGUGUCUGGGAAAUGGGGAAGGGUGGAUCCACAGGUGCUCUAGCUUCCUAGCUCCCAGCAACCAUGGGGUGUAGGGAUGAGGGUGGAGCCAAGCCAGACCUGUACAGUAACGUUUCUGCUUCUGAGACUCAUUUGGACCAUAAGGUAGGAGUGAUUUUCAUAUGACAGAUCAGCCUCAGGAGAUUCCACUGGCACAAGUCUCAGGGCUCUGAAGGCAGCAGUCCCUAGGAUUCCUUGACUUCCCGCCGGUGCUCUUUGAACAGACUCCUCUCUUCUGUCUUCUUUUUCUUAAAUUCUGAAUCCUUUAACCCUUGCUUGUAGUAAGUGUAUUUGUAGUUAUAAAAUAUGUCUAUUUUCCAGAGAAAUUUAGCGUGCCGAAGUGAGAAUCAAUUCUAAAACACUCCUUUUAUUUUUAAAGUGGGUUUUAAAGGCCUAUUGUGGGGGGACCGCAAUGUCAAUGUGACCGGGAGGCGCAGUAAGAGCAGGAUUCUAUUGGCCGCCACCGCCGGCGGGGGCUACGCCUGGCUUGGCUCACGUGUGCGCCUUAUCAUGCAAAUCCGACGGCUGGGGCAUGCGCACUGCUUCCCUGGGGGGUACCCGCCUUCAACUCGCAGUUGGGACCAAGACCUCCAGAUGCGCAAUAAUUAGGUUUCCUCAUUAAACAAAGGUUUCCCCAUCAUUCCCCUCCUCCCACCGUUCUCAGUCGCAGAGCUCCUUACAAACCAAGCAGAUUACCCGUCGACUCCCCCCACACCCCCUCAAUCUCUGAUAUCCAGUCUUUGGUCCACGGUUCCUUCUGAGGAACUUCUUAAGGAUCUCCUUAAGGAUAUCCUUCUUAGGGUCUUCGCAUUUUAGAGUCCUUUACAUACCUCUCCAUUAUUCUUUUUCUUUUCUUUGGACCUGCUUUAAAGGCUAUUAAGAUACGAUUCUCUCUUCAUUUUUGGUCCCUUCCCUCAUCUCUCCCCCUCAACGUGAUAAAAUGCUCUUUUCGCUCCGAGAGGAAAGAGCCAACACCGCUGCUCCCCGUUCCAUUCGGCUUCGAUCACCCCCCUCCCGCCCCCAAGCCCAGUGGCUUUCAGUUCAGAGCACAGAAGCGUGGAUGCCCUAGAACUCGGGUAGGCGCUGGAGCCGGUCACCAGUCAAGCCCGAUCGCCAAUCCUCAGGCAUCUGUCUGCUAAGAAGAACGAAGGCCAGCAUCUGCAAGCCUGCCUGGACCUGUGCGGUGCUGCUCUUUGGCUCUGAGCCCCCACUUCGCUGGAGAAGCGCACGACUUCAGGGAACGCCUCCAGGGGUGUCCUCUACACUUCUCCAGCACCCGUUAGGUGGGCAUAGAGACCCCAGGGGUCCAUCUCCUUAGAGCGGAAUGGCCUUUUCUGGAAAGAGAUCGCAGUAGGCGAGAAAUAGCCACCAUUACGUUCAAAGUCUCCCGCGGGAAAGCUUCGUAGCUCUGCUGAGAGCUCUACCUGACCCGCGUGCGGCGUCGCGGCGAGAACCGCGCCCACAUGCGCUCCCGGAGUCACAGUCAGCUCAUUUUCCCUGGUAGAAACAGCCAACGCUCCUCUGGCUUUCAAUUACUCUCAGCUUACCUGCAGGGCGAACGGAUUUGUAUCUUUCUAUAAAAAAACCUUCUGUCCUGGAUUCUCCCAGAUUCCCCCUUCCCCCUCAUCCGACCUUAACCAGGAGAAGGGCGAGAUUGGGGUUUGAUUCUCUGAUAUGACACGAAUAAUUGUUGCAUCAUAUAACUUCCUACAUCUUGGUUUUAAUUUGCAGUGAACCAAACAAAGAUAUUUGCAAUUUAAAAAUAAGCACUCGAUUUAAUAAAUGGGAACAUUGUGCAUGGAAGACUAUGUCCUCCCCCCACCCACCACCCCAAACCCCUUCAGAAGACGUUAUUAGCUCUGACAGCAUGCCGCUCAGGUUUGCGGAGAGGAUUUUGUAAAGGGAUGACAGACAGGAAGGCCAGCAAUCAUGGGCUCCUUGGGCUGAAGCUUUUUUUCCCCCUUUCUUUCUUUUUUUUUUUUUUUUUUAUCAGAAUGUUCUGUUCGAUGCCAUUUAUCCUUGAUGAUAGAAAAUUGCGCUGUUGCCAGGACGCUGCUGCUGCCGCUGAAAUAGAGGGCAGGAGCCACAUUUCCAUUUUCCGGCUUGAAAGCUAUUCAAAUGAAUUUGCAGAGAGGGGGGAACGUCUAGCGAUAAACAAAUGAGAAUAAAUCGAGUUCCCCUUUCCAUUCUUUCGUUUAAAUGGGUAGCUCUUCAUUUCCAAUAUACAGACUUUUGUUCAUCAGUGUUUGGGAAUACCUGGGAGAUAGUGUAAGCCAACGUACAAUUUAUUUUGAUGUUCUAAAAGUGACUAACUGCAUAAACAUUUUAAAAGAAUGUACGUCUAAAUAUAUAUAUAUAAAGUAUAAGAAUUAUAUAUACAUAGAUCCUAUACAUACAUCCCUUCACACAAUUCCAAACUACAAUGGGGAAUAAACUCUUUUAGCAGAGUUUGAAUUGAAUAUAAUUUCCAAGCAAUGCUAGCAAUGGUGGUUAUGGACUUCCUACUAGUUUUCAUAUAUGUAUUGUUAGAUGGGAUCUUUUUUUUUUUUUUAAAGCUCUCUUUCUAUGUUAUAUAUUUUAGGACACUAUGUAAUUUAAUUACCCUGUAGGUCUUAGCUGAUUCAAACACCCUUACUUCCUCCGCAAUAGAUAAAAGUCACCUUCUUUCUUUCAAGUUAAUUUUCCAAAUCUCCUUAUAAAGUUUUGUUUCUAAGUCGGCAAGUACAAGUCAAAAGAGUAGGUGCACAGCACCUUUAAAGGAUUUGAAACAAAGAGAGACUGAAGUCUGUGCUUCCUUUUCUUAAAUUUUAGAUUCUUUGCUCACUUAAAAAGAUAAUAUAUUAAUAGGAACUCAAGGGAUCACAUCCAAAAUAGACAUUUUAAAAGUGAAAAAUUUAAAAAUUCAAGCCAUUAAAUAUAUAUAAAAACAUUAGCAAUGUCCUAACAGAAACUAUAAAACUUGUGGGGGACCCACUAUAUCUUAACAAUUGAAUAAGUUUUAUUGAGUUCUAACUCUAAUUUUUCUUCAAAGUCAGAUAUUGGCAGUUAGAAAAUUUUCAGUAAUAUAAAGGCUUUUAACAUACAGCAACUAAUUGUAUUUACAAUUUCAGAACAGUAACUAAUUGUAUUUGUGAUUUCGGCUGGUACUUGAAACUUAAGGGGAAAAAACCCACCCAACAGUAUUUUAAAACUUAACACUUUUCAACUGAGUCAUGGGUCUCUAACCUACUACGUUUUUAGCUACAAGAAUGUUUCUAAGUGAUAGGUAACCGGUGGCCAAACCAGGACUGCAGAAACAAUAACAGGAU
Molecule: long non-coding RNA, 6249 nt
Filed under: Sus scrofa (pig)
Lineage: Eukaryota; Metazoa; Chordata; Mammalia; Artiodactyla; Suidae
Description: lncRNA (ENSSSCG00000055045.1)
Source: RNAcentral